RNAcentral lists this ribosomal RNA (1461 nucleotides) under Escherichia coli. Its description in RNAcentral is "partial 23S ribosomal RNA". It matches the Rfam family "Bacterial large subunit ribosomal RNA", at positions 446 to 1890 of the family's 2925-position model. Lineage: Bacteria; Pseudomonadati; Pseudomonadota; Gammaproteobacteria; Enterobacterales; Enterobacteriaceae. The record is from RNAcentral.
GGGGGGACCAUCCUCCAAGGCUAAAUACUCCUGACUGACCGAUAGUGAACCAGUACCGUGAGGGAAAGGCGAAAAGAACCCCGGCGAGGGGAGUGAAAAAGAACCUGAAACCGUGUACGUACAAGCAGUGGGAGCACAGAGCAAUCUGUGUGACUGCGUACCUUUUGUAUAAUGGGUCAGCGACUUAUAUUCUGUAGCAAGGUUAACCGAAUAGGGGAGCCGAAGGGAAACCGAGUCUUAACUGGGCGUUAAGUUGCAGGGUAUAGACCCGAAACCCGGUGAUCUAGCCAUGGGCAGGUUGAAGGUUGGGUAACACUAACUGGAGGACCGAACCGACUAAUGUUGAAAAAUUAGCGGAUGACUUGUGGCUGGGGGUGAAAGGCCAAUCAAACCGGGAGAUAGCUGGUUCUCCCCGAAAGCUAUUUAGGUAGCGCCUCGUGAAUUCAUCUCCGGGGGUAGAGCACUGUUUCGGCAAGGGGGUCAUCCCGACUUACCAACCCGAUGCAAACUGCGAAUACCGGAGAAUGUUAUCACGGGAGACACACGGCGGGUGCUAACGUCCGUCGUGAAGAGGGAAACAACCCAGACCGCCAGCUAAGGUCCCAAAGUCAUGGUUAAGUGGGAAACGAUGUGGGAAGGCCCAGACAGCCAGGAUGUUGGCUUAGAAGCAGCCAUCAUUUAAAGAAAGCGUAAUAGCUCACUGGUCGAGUCGGCCUGCGCGGAAGAUGUAACGGGGCUAAACCAUGCACCGAAGCUGCGGCAGCGACGCUUAUGCGUUGUUGGGUAGGGGAGCGUUCUGUAAGCCUGCGAAGGUGUGCUGUGAGGCAUGCUGGAGGUAUCAGAAGUGCGAAUGCUGACAUAAGUAACGAUAAAGCGGGUGAAAAGCCCGCUCGCCGGAAGACCAAGGGUUCCUGUCCAACGUUAAUCGGGGCAGGGUGAGUCGACCCCUAAGGCGAGGCCGAAAGGCGUAGUCGAUGGGAAACAGGUUAAUAUUCCUGUACUUGGUGUUACUGCGAAGGGGGGACGGAGAAGGCUAUGUUGGCCGGGCGACGGUUGUCCCGGUUUAAGCGUGUAGGCUGGUUUUCCAGGCAAAUCCGGAAAAUCAAGGCUGAGGCGUGAUGACGAGGCACUACGGUGCUGAAGCAACAAAUGCCCUGCUUCCAGGAAAAGCCUCUAAGCAUCAGGUAACAUCAAAUCGUACCCCAAACCGACACAGGUGGUCAGGUAGAGAAUACCAAGGCGCUUGAGAGAACUCGGGUGAAGGAACUAGGCAAAAUGGUGCCGUAACUUCGGGAGAAGGCACGCUGAUAUGUAGGUGAAGUCCCUCGCGGAUGGAGCUGAAAUCAGUCGAAGAUACCAGCUGGCUGCAACUGUUUAUUAAAAACACAGCACUGUGCAAACACGAAAGUGGACGUAUACGGUGUGACGCCUGCCCGGUGCCGGAAGGUUAAUUGAUGGGGU